AGUGAACGCUGGCGGCGUGCUUAACACAUGCAAGUCGAACGAGAACGGGUUAUAGCUUGCUAUAAUUGUCAGCUAAGUGGCGCACGGGUGAGUAAUGUAUAGGUAAUAUGCCUCUUACUAAGGGAUAACAAAUGGAAACGUUUGCUAAUACCUUAUACUCCUUAUUAACAGAAGUUAAUAAGGGAAAGACUUAUUGGUAAGAGAUUAGCCUGUAUUGUACCAGUUAGUUGGUGAGGUAAUGGCUUACCAAGACUAUGACACAUAACUGGUUUGAGAGGAUGAUCAGUCACACUGGAACUGAGACACGGACCAGACUCCUACGGGAGGCAGCAGUGGGGAAUAUUGCACAAUGGACGAAAGUCUGAUGCAGCAACGCCGCGUGGAGGAUGACACAUUUCGGUGCGUAAACUCCUUUUAUAUGAGAAGAUAAUGACGGUAUUAUAUGAAUAAGCACCGGCUAACUCCGUGCCAGCAGCCGCCGUAA
This 484-nucleotide ribosomal RNA is filed under the name uncultured bacterium. RNAcentral describes it as "partial 16S ribosomal RNA". It matches the Rfam family "Bacterial small subunit ribosomal RNA", at positions 29 to 523 of the family's 1533-position model. The record is from RNAcentral.